Molecule: ribosomal RNA, 254 nt
Filed under: uncultured bacterium
Lineage: Bacteria
Description: partial 16S ribosomal RNA
Rfam family: Bacterial small subunit ribosomal RNA
Source: RNAcentral
UACAGAGGGUGCGAGCGUUGUCCGGAAUCACUGGGCGUAAAGGGCGCGUAGGUGGUGGCUUAAGCGUGCGGUGAAAGCUCGGGGCUCAACCCCGAGUCGGCCGUGCGAACUGGGCUCACUGGAGCAUAGUAGAGGCAGGUGGAAUUCCGGGUGUAGCGGUGGAAUGCGUAGAGAUCCGGAGGAACACCAAAGGCGAAGGCGAGUGUCCUGGGAGUACCGUGACGCUCAGGUGCGAAAGCCAGGGGAGCGAACGG